Oryza sativa Japonica Group (Japanese rice) is the source of this 194-nucleotide microRNA precursor. It matches the Rfam family "MIR812 microRNA precursor family". Lineage: Eukaryota; Viridiplantae; Streptophyta; Magnoliopsida; Poales; Poaceae. The record is from Rfam.
AAAAAGGCAAACCCUGGGUUUCCGUGUCCAACUUUGACUGUCCAUCUUAUGUGAAAUUUUUUUAUAAUUCGUAUUUUCAUUGUUGUUAGAUGAUAAAACAUGAUUAAUAUUUUAUGCGUGACUUGUCUUUUUAAUUUUUUUCAAAUAAGACGGACGGUCAAACGUUGGGCACGGAAACCAGGGUUUGUCUUUUU